This is a small nucleolar RNA of Cynara cardunculus var. scolymus (artichoke), 107 nucleotides long. NCBI's taxonomy places the organism in Eukaryota, Viridiplantae, Streptophyta, Magnoliopsida, Asterales, Asteraceae. The record is from RefSeq and is a predicted model, not a curated record.
AUGCCAUGGUGUGGGCAUUUUCUCAACAACUCUUUAAACCUUUCCCACGCAUCAUGAACAGCUUCAUCAUCUAGUUGUUUAAAAAGACAUAUCUCGUUUCUGGAUUU